RNAcentral lists this ribosomal RNA (420 nucleotides) under uncultured Chroococcidiopsis sp. Its description in RNAcentral is "bacterial SSU rRNA". It matches the Rfam family "Bacterial small subunit ribosomal RNA", at positions 356 to 790 of the family's 1533-position model. The record is from RNAcentral. Lineage: Bacteria; Bacillati; Cyanobacteriota; Cyanophyceae; Chroococcidiopsidales; Chroococcidiopsidaceae.
GGGGAAUCUUCCGCAAUGGGCGAAAGCCUGACGGAGCAAUACCGCGUGAGGGAGGAAGGCUCUUGGGUUGUAAACCUCUUUUCUCAGGGAAGAACAAAAUGACGGUACCUGAGGAAUAAGCAUCGGCUAACUCCGUGCCAGCAGCCGCGGUAAUACGGAGGAUGCAAGCGUUAUCCGGAAUUAUUGGGCGUAAAGCGUCCGCAGGUGGCAAUUCAAGUCUGCUGUCAAAGGUUCUGGCUCAACCAGUAACAGGCAGUGGAAACUGAAUAGCUAGAGUGCGGUAGGGGCAGAGGGAAUUCCCAGUGUAGCGGUGAAAUGCGUAGAGAUUGGGAAGAACACCGGUGGCGAAAGCGCUCUGCUAGGCCGUAACUGACACUCAUGGACGAAAGCUAGGGGAGCGAAUGGGAUUAGAUACCCCAG